This 406-nucleotide ribosomal RNA is filed under the name uncultured bacterium. RNAcentral's name for it is "partial 16S ribosomal RNA". It matches the Rfam family "Bacterial small subunit ribosomal RNA", at positions 30 to 526 of the family's 1533-position model. The record is from RNAcentral.
AUUGAACGCUGGCGGCAGGCCUAACACAUGCAAGUCGAACGAGUGGCGGACGGGUGAGUAAUGUCUGGGAAACUGCCCGAUGGAGGGGGGUAAAUACUGGAAACGGUAGCUAAUACCGCAUACCAUCGGAUGUGCCCAGAUGGGAUUAGCUUGGAGGUGAGGUAACGGCUCACCUAGGCGACGAGCCCUAGCUGGGCUGAGAGGAUGACCAGCGACACUGGAACUGCUACACGGUCCAGACUCCUACGUGAGUCAUCUGUGGGGAAGAUGGCACAAUGGGCGCAAGCUUGAUGCAUCCAUUCCUCGGGUAUGAAGAAGGCCUUCGGGUUGUAAAGUACUUUCAGCGGGGAGGCGUUACCCGCAGAAGAAGCACCGUCUAACUCCGUUCCAGCAGCCGCGGUAAUUC